CUCAGUAACGCGUAGUCAACCUAACCUAUGGACGGAAAUAACCUCGGGAAACUGAGAAUAAUGUCCGAUAGAACACUAUGCCUGGAAUGGUUUGUGUUCCAAAUGAUUUAUCGCCGUAGGAUGGGACUGCGGCCUAUCAGUUUGUUGGUGAGGUAAUGGCCCACCAAGACUAUUACAGGUACGGGCUCUGAGAGGAGUAGCCCGGAGAUGGGUACUGAGACACGGACCCAGGCCCUAUGGGGCGCAGCAGGCGAGAAAACUUUGCAAUGUGCGAAAGCACGACAAGGUUAAUCCGAGUGAUUUGUGCUAAACGAAUCUUUUGUUAGUCUUAGAACCACUAACGAAUAAGGGGUGGGCAAGUUCUGGUGUCAGCCGCCGCGGUAAAACCAGCACCUCAAGUGGUCAGGAUGAUUAUUGGGCCUAAAGCAUCCGUAGCCGGCUCUGUAAGUUUUCGGUUAAAUCUGUACGCUCAACGUACAGGCUGCCGGGAAUACUGCAGAGCUAGGGAGUGGGAGAGGUAGACGGUACUCGGAAGGAAGGGGUAAAAUCCUUUGAUCUUUUGAUGACCACCUGUGGCGAAGGCGGUCUACCAGAACACGUCCGACGGUGAGGGAUGAAAGCUGGGGGAGCAAACCGGAUUAGAUACCCGGGUAGUCCCAGCUGUAAACUAUGCAAACUCAGUGAUGCAUUGACUUGUGGUCAAUGCAGUGCUGCAGGGAAGCCGUUAAGUUUGCCGCCUGGGAAGUACGUACGCAAGUAUGAAACUUAAAGGAAUU
This 776-nucleotide ribosomal RNA is filed under the name uncultured crenarchaeote. RNAcentral's name for it is "bacterial SSU rRNA". It matches the Rfam family "Archaeal small subunit ribosomal RNA", at positions 89 to 866 of the family's 1478-position model. The record is from RNAcentral. Lineage: Archaea; Thermoproteati; Thermoproteota.